AUUUGUUGGAUGAGUGUGAGACAUUGGAUUGAUUUUGUUCAAUCUGAGCCCCACAUCAUCAGGGGUUUGU
RNAcentral lists this microRNA precursor (70 nucleotides) under Nicotiana sylvestris (wood tobacco). RNAcentral describes it as "MIR6151 microRNA precursor family". It matches the Rfam family "MIR6151 microRNA precursor family". The record is from Rfam by way of RNAcentral. Lineage: Eukaryota; Viridiplantae; Streptophyta; Magnoliopsida; Solanales; Solanaceae.